UUAGCUGAGAGGUGGUGCAUGGCCGUCGUCAGUUCGUACUGUGAAGCAUCCUGUUAAGUCAGGCAACGAGCGAGACCCACGCCCACAGUUGCCAGCGUACUCUCUGGAGUGACGGGUACACUGUGGGGACCGCCGCUGCUAAAGCGGAGGAAGGAAUGGGCAACGGUAGGUCAGUAUGCCCCGAAUAUCCCGGGCUACACGCGAGCUACAAUGGUUGGUACAAUGGGUAUCUACCCCGAAAGGGGACGGGAAUCUCCUAAAACCAAUCUUAGUUCGGAUUGAGGGCUGCAACUCGCCCUCAUGAAGCUGGAAUCCGUAGUAAUCGUGUCUCAAAAUGGCACGGUGAAUAUGUCCCUGCUCCUU
This 363-nucleotide ribosomal RNA is filed under the name uncultured Methanosaeta sp. Its description in RNAcentral is "bacterial SSU rRNA". It matches the Rfam family "Archaeal small subunit ribosomal RNA", at positions 976 to 1338 of the family's 1478-position model. The record is from RNAcentral. Lineage: Archaea; Methanobacteriati; Methanobacteriota; Methanomicrobia; Methanotrichales; Methanotrichaceae.